RNAcentral lists this ribosomal RNA (468 nucleotides) under uncultured bacterium. RNAcentral's name for it is "partial 16S ribosomal RNA". It matches the Rfam family "Bacterial small subunit ribosomal RNA", at positions 28 to 507 of the family's 1533-position model. The record is from RNAcentral.
GACGAACGCUGGCGGCGUGCUUAACACAUGCAAGUCGAACGGAAAGGCCCUGCUUUUGUGGUGUGCUCGAGUGGCGAACGAGUGGGUAACACGUGCGUAACCUACCCUUGACUUUGGGAUAACUUCAGGAAACUGGGGCCAAUUCCGGAUGCGAGCGCCUGCUUCAUGGCGUGGGGUGGAGAGUUUCGGCGGCUGCGGCUGGUCACGCGGCUUUUCAGCUUGUUGGUGGGGUAGUGGCUUACCAAGGCGUGGACGGGUAGCCGGCCUGAGAGGGUGACUGGCCACAUUGGGACUGAGAUACGGCCCAGACUCCUACGGGAGGCAGCAGUGGGGAAUAGUGCAAAAUGGGCGGAAGCCUGAUGCAGCAACGCCGCGUGCGGGAUGACGGUCUUCGGGUUGGAAACCGCUUUCGGCGGUGACGAAGCGUGAGUGACGGUAAUGGGUAAAGAAGCAACGGCUAACUACGUG